This 66-nucleotide transfer RNA is filed under the name Oxya adentata. RNAcentral describes it as "tRNA-Trp". Lineage: Eukaryota; Metazoa; Arthropoda; Insecta; Orthoptera; Acrididae. The record is from RNAcentral.
AAGGACUUAAGUUAAAUAAACUAAUAACCUUCAAAGCUGUAAUUGAAAGUAAUCUUUUAGGUCUUA